CCUUUGAAUACUUCUGAGUGAUCUGGAGGAGGAUGUGGACAUAGUGUAACAUCCACAUUUAUAGGUGACACCAGAUGUGAUCAGAAGCCAUGCCAUUGGUGAAGAGGUAUAUUGAGCCCCGUCUAGCCCAGUGAGGUUACUAGAAAAUUGGGAGAGGCUUAAACCAACAUCCUGCACAUGGUUAUCAAAUCGUUGUGAAGUCUGAAAAUCACCUAGGAUGCCUCUAAAAAUGCAGAUUCCUGGGCAGCCAGAAACCUUGUCCUUGGUCAACACUACCACCUACCUGUCACUUAUAUUGCGGCUUCCUGCCCAGUGGGUUCAUCAGCAAGCCAGAAUGAAUCUCCUCCAUUGCCAUAGAUGUCCUUGUGAGGUGGAAGCCUUGGAGACCUUUAGAAACAACUUGUCAAGUCCUCACCAUGAAUACCAUUAGAAUUGCAGUUGGAAUGGCACAGAUUAAUUUUUGAAGAGCUGUCAUCUUUAUAAUCUUCUAAUACAUGAAUGUGUGCUUCCUCCAUCCUGCAAGCUUCUGGGAACUCAGUGCCCAUUGUAUACAGGAUAUGUAUCCACUGAAGACCAUUAUGCCCUCCAAUAUAAGGCUAACUUGUGUUCUCACUACAAAAGUUUAGAAUCAGAGAGUUUCUUCUCUCUGCUGCAUUUUGAGCUGCCAGGCACUGUGCUAGAUGAUGGGGAUAUGGAGACGGACUUAGACAGAGUCCCUGCCUUCAGGAGUUCUUAGUCUAGUGAGAGAGUUCGACGUGUGCACAGAUAAUUACAACAGUAUGGUAUGCUCUGCAAUGGAGGUAUGUACAAGAUACUAUGGGGUUGAGAAGAGAAAUCAUUUGAUUUAGUUUGGAGAUGCCAGAGGUUGAAGGAAAUAAUUAGCUUAAGUGGGUUCUUAAAAGAAGUAAAGCUUGACCAGGAAGAAAACAGGGAAGGUCCUUUUAAGCAAAGUCGUGGACAUUGGAAAUAGAAUGAUGUACUGGGGGAACUACAAGUAGUUCUUGAAAUUAGGUUAGAAAUGUAGGCUGACAAUAGAUCCUUACAUAGUAUUCCAUGAAAUGCAGAUCCCAUUUUGUUUAAGUAGGAGAUGCUUUUGAUGGUCACUCUGGAAGUGCUAUAUAGUGUGUUCUGGAAGAUUUUCAGAUCUGGACAGGGAGAUUAGUUAGAAGGAUACCAUAGUAGGGUUAAGAUGAUACAUGAUCUAAGGCCAGAAGGAAUGGGAGUGGAGAAAAGGAGAUAACCUCUUAAUGAGAAGCUAUAAAAAUGUGGACAUAAUAGAACAUGAGAAAAUUAAUAGAGGGGGAAAUUAAGCCUCUCAGACUCUGGAGAAUGUGCAUUCACCUACCUCCAUCCCUGGCCUUGAUGAGAAAUCCUUUCAUGUUUUUUAGAUAGGCAUCACUAUUGAUUUCUUUUGGACCAGGGCUUAACUACCGUUUUUGCAAGUUUCUUUUUGGGAUGGCAGCUGUAUAUGAAAAGUUGAUUCUCAGACAUCUGAAUAGCUGCAGACUUCUAAUAGGAUCACUUAGUUCCUGGUCCUUCUCAUCAGUAGCAGCCCUCUCUAUCACAUGUUACCCAAAGUCAAAGUGGAGGCUUUUAUCUCUAAAACCCACUCAAGGGAAGAAAUGGCCCUCAUUGUUACUGUCUCAAUUGUUUUAUUUUGCUUACGGGAUUUCACAGUACUUAUGGUUACACCUCUAAGCAAAAUCUAUUCACUGAUCAAAAAUCUGUACAUGUUGUGUUUAUUUCCUCUUUUUUCAAAGCAGUAUGAACAUGUCCUUUGGAAAAUUCUCCACCUAGGUUCAGAAUAGUGGCCUUGGGGAUUCAGAGAAUGGAUUUCUGAUUAGAAUGAUUAAUAGGAGACUAUAUUUGAGUAGACCUUAUGUAUUUUCAGUCGACCUUGUGUAAGUAGCCAUCACAGAGGGCAGUCAGGGAAGAAGGGUUGGGAGAGGAAGCUCUGAGUAGGACAGCAAAGCAGGACAGUAAGAGUUUGGGCCUUGGGACUUAAAUAGCCUAGACUCAGAUUUGCUCUUACAUUCACCAGUGUGGCGUCAAGCAUGGUUUUUCACCGCUCUGGAACUGUCCUUUGUCUUAUUUAAAUAGGAGUAAUAAUCAUUUUUUGCAAUGAUUUGAGGGGGUGGGUAUAAGGAUUUAAUGGGAUU
RNAcentral lists this long non-coding RNA (2159 nucleotides) under Canis lupus familiaris (dog). RNAcentral's name for it is "lncRNA (ENSCAFG00845029920.1)". The record is from RNAcentral. Lineage: Eukaryota; Metazoa; Chordata; Mammalia; Carnivora; Canidae.